This 72-nucleotide transfer RNA is filed under the name Ovis aries (sheep). It matches the Rfam family "tRNA". From Rfam's summary of the family: Transfer RNA (tRNA) molecules are approximately 80 nucleotides in length. Their secondary structure includes four short double-helical elements and three loops (D, anti-codon, and T loops). The record is from Rfam by way of RNAcentral. Lineage: Eukaryota; Metazoa; Chordata; Mammalia; Artiodactyla; Bovidae.
UCCCUGGUGGCUCAGAGGUUAAAGCGUCUGCCUCCAAUGCAGGAGGCCCGGGUUCAAUCCCUGGGUCGGGAA